Molecule: microRNA precursor, 127 nt
Filed under: Myotis brandtii (Brandt's bat)
Lineage: Eukaryota; Metazoa; Chordata; Mammalia; Chiroptera; Vespertilionidae
Description: mir-9193 microRNA precursor family
Rfam family: mir-9193 microRNA precursor family
Source: Rfam by way of RNAcentral
CAUGCACUGGUGGGGUCCCUCGGCCUGGCCUGUGCCCUCUCGCAAUCCGGGAUCCCUCAGGAGAUGUUGGAGAGCCAGUUUUGGUCCGAUCCCCACAGGCCAGGCCGAGGGACCCCACCGGUGCAUG